AGAUCAAAGAGCAAGCCAUUUCUAUAGUUAAAACCUGACGUGGUUGAUGAAAUAAUCAGAUAGUUACACAUGGUAUGCCACAUGUACCUCGUUCUAAUGUACAUAGACUACUUUUUAACAGUAGAAAUGGAUAAAAAUUUUAAAA
This 145-nucleotide microRNA precursor is filed under the name Gossypium arboreum. Its description in RNAcentral is "MIR7502 microRNA precursor family". It matches the Rfam family "MIR7502 microRNA precursor family". The record is from Rfam by way of RNAcentral. Lineage: Eukaryota; Viridiplantae; Streptophyta; Magnoliopsida; Malvales; Malvaceae. RNAcentral also lists the same sequence under 1 other name.